CAGCAGCCGCCACGGUAAUACAGAGGGUGCGAGCGUUAAUCGGAUUUACUGGGCGUAAAGCGUGCGUAGGCGGCUUCUUAAGUCGGAUGUGAAAUCCCUGAGCUUAACUUAGGAACUGCAUUCGAUACUGGGAAGCUAGAGUAUGGGAGAGGAUGGUAGAAUUCCAGGUGUAGCGGUGAAAUGCGUAGAGAUCUGGAGGAAUACCGAUGGCGAAGGCAGCCAUCUGGCCUAAUACUGACGCUGAGGUACGAAAGCAUGGGGAGCAAACAGGAUUAGAUACCCGCGUAGUCCCUGUCUCUUAUAC
This 304-nucleotide ribosomal RNA is filed under the name uncultured bacterium. Its description in RNAcentral is "partial 16S ribosomal RNA". It matches the Rfam family "Bacterial small subunit ribosomal RNA", at positions 509 to 807 of the family's 1533-position model. The record is from RNAcentral.